AUGACAACUGAGGAACUUCUUCCAGAGAAAUAUCGUGACAAAGCAUCUGAGUAUCGCAAGGGCACUGAUACAAUGGAUGUUUGGUUCGACUCUGGCUCCUCAUGGGCUGCUGUUUCAGCAAAACGAGAUGGCCUUAAUUUCCCUGCAGAUGUAUACAUUGAAGGUUCAGACCAACAUCGUGGAUGGUUUCAGAGUUCGUUGUUAACCAGCAUCGCUGCUACAGGAAAGGCUCCAUAUUCCAGUGUUAUUACCCACGGUUUCGUAUUGGACGAAGACGGUUUCAAAAUGAGCAAAUCUGUUGGUAAUGUGGUGGAUCCUGAGAAAGUGAUUGUUGGUGGGAAAAAUCCUAAGGAAGAGCCUCAUUAUGGAGCAGAUGUUCUCCGUCUAUGGGUUUCUAGUGUAGAUUGCACUGGAGAUGUGUUGAUUGGUUCACAAAUCUUACGCCAGAUGUCUGACAUGUAUAGGAAACUACGAGGCACAAUGCAUUUUCUGUUAGCAAAUCUCCAUGAUUGGAAACCGGAGAAUUCUGUGCCCUACAGUGAUCUGCCAAAAAUUGACCAGUAUGCACUUUUCCAACUGGAAAAUGUCGUGGCCUCCAUGAAGGAUGGUUAUGAUAAUUACCAGUUCUAUAAAACAUAUCAGACCCUUCAGAGAUUCGCCAUCGUUGGUUUGUCCAAUUUCUAUUUUGAUGUUGCAAAAGACCGACUUUAUGUUGGUGGCCGAGUUAGCUACACGAGGAAAAGCUGCCAGACAGUACUUGCUGCACAUCUACUCUACCUUGUCAGGGCCAUUGCUCCGAUUAUGCCACACUUAGCAGAGGAUAUCUGGCAGAACUUGCCCUUUCAACACACCUUGGAAGAUGGAUCUGUUGCCAAGUUUGCUUUCGAUCUAAAAUGGCCAGAUAAGAAUGAAGAAUGGUGCUCAGUUCAAAAGGAUGAUGUUGAUUUUCUGAGUGUUAUCCUGGAGUUGAGAUCAGAGGUGAACAAGAUUUUGGAGAGCGCUAGAACAGGGAAGCUGAUAGGCGCUAGUUUGGAUGCAAAGGUUUAUCUCCAUGCUGAAAACCCUGAUACGGUAUCCAAACUGAAGGAGCUGGCUUCUGCAACCAAUGAUGCAGAUGCUCUUCAUCGCCUAUUUAUCACGUCUCAGGUGGAGGUUCUCCCGUCCCUGAGCGAAGAAACCAAAUUGGGUGUGUCCUAUGCGGGGAAGUUCAGCGACCCACGCACGGGAGAGAUCUGGAUCGGUGUGACUCGUGCGGAUGGCGUGAAAUGCAAGCGCUGCUGGGUUUACAGUUACACCAAGGACGUUGGGUCGUUCCUUGACCAUCCUACGCUAUGCUCGCGGUGCCACGGCGUCAUUGAUCUGCAACCGCAAGCAUCUCCUGCCGCCGCCGCCGUCGCUUGA
RNAcentral lists this ribosomal RNA (1401 nucleotides) under Triticum aestivum (bread wheat). Its description in RNAcentral is "partial small subunit ribosomal RNA". The record is from RNAcentral. Lineage: Eukaryota; Viridiplantae; Streptophyta; Magnoliopsida; Poales; Poaceae.